UACGAAGGGGGCGAGCGUUGUUCGGAAUUACUGGGCGUAAAGGGCGCGCAGGCGGUCCCUCAAGUCAGGCGUGAAAGCCCCGGGCUCAACCUGGGAAUUGCGCUUGAGACUGGGGGACUUGAGGACGGGAGAGGAGAGUGGAAUUCCCAGUGUAGAGGUGAAAUUCGUAGAUAUUGGGAAGAACACCAAUGGCGAAGGCAGCUCUCUGGACCGUUACUGACGCUGAGGCGCGAAAGCGUGGGGAGCAAACAGGAUUAGAAACCCCCGUAGUCC
Molecule: ribosomal RNA, 273 nt
Filed under: uncultured bacterium
Lineage: Bacteria
Description: partial 16S ribosomal RNA
Rfam family: Bacterial small subunit ribosomal RNA
Source: RNAcentral